GGCGAACGGGUGAGUAACACGUGAAGCAACCUGCCCCUGACUCUGGGAUAAGCGGUGGAAACGCCGUCUAAUACCGGAUACGACCCGCCACCUCAUGGUGGAGGGUGGAAAGUUUUUCGGUCAGGGAUGGGCUCGCGGCCUAUCAGCUUGUUGGUGGGGUAACGGCCUACCAAGGCGAUUACGGGUAGCCGGCCUGAGAGGGCGACCGGCCACACUGGGACUGAGACACGGCCCAGACUCCUGCGGGAGGCAGCAGUGGGGAAUAUUGCGCAAUGGGCGAAAGCCUGACGCAGCGACGCCGCGUGGGGGAUGACGGCCUUCGGGUUGUAAACCUCUUUUACCACCAACGCAGGCUCGAAGUUCUCUUCGGGUUGACGGUAGGUGGGGAAUAAGGACCGGCUAACUACGUGCCAGCAGCCGCGGUAAUACGUAGGGUCCGAGCGUUGUCCGCAAUUAUUGGGCGUAAAAAGCUCGUAAGCGGCGUGUCCCGUCUGCUGUGA
This 500-nucleotide ribosomal RNA is filed under the name Nocardiopsis sp. CM-2. RNAcentral describes it as "bacterial SSU rRNA". It matches the Rfam family "Bacterial small subunit ribosomal RNA", at positions 97 to 597 of the family's 1533-position model. Lineage: Bacteria; Bacillati; Actinomycetota; Actinomycetes; Streptosporangiales; Nocardiopsidaceae. The record is from RNAcentral.